RNAcentral lists this ribosomal RNA (227 nucleotides) under uncultured bacterium. RNAcentral's name for it is "partial 16S ribosomal RNA". It matches the Rfam family "Bacterial small subunit ribosomal RNA", at positions 107 to 334 of the family's 1533-position model. The record is from RNAcentral.
UGAGUAACACGUAUCCAACCUGCCGUCUACUCUUGGACAGCCUUCUGAAAGGAAGAUUAAUACAAGAUGGCAUCAUGAGUCCGCAUGUUCACAUGAUUAAAGGUAUUCCGGUAGACGAUGGGGAUGCGUUACAUUAGAUAGUAGGCGGGGUAACGGCCCACCUAGUCUUCGAUGGAUAGGGGUUCUGAGAGGAAGGUCCCCCACAUUGGAACUGAGACACGGUCCAA